RNAcentral lists this ribosomal RNA (464 nucleotides) under Haemaphysalis longicornis (longhorned tick). RNAcentral describes it as "partial 16S ribosomal RNA". The stretch from base 315 to 464 matches the Rfam family "Archaeal large subunit ribosomal RNA", at positions 2542 to 2693 of the family's 2987-position model. The record is from RNAcentral. Lineage: Eukaryota; Metazoa; Arthropoda; Arachnida; Ixodida; Ixodidae.
UCUUCUGCUCAAAUGUUUUUUAAAUUGCUGUAGUAUUUUGACUAUACAAAGGUAUUGUAAUAAGACUUUAAUUGAGUGCUAAGAGAAUGGAUUUUCAAAAAAAUUCUUUUUUAAGUUUAAAAAUUAAAGUUAUUUUUAUUUGUGAAGAAACAAUAAUAAAAAUUAAAGACAAGAAGACCCUAUGAAUUUUUAUAAACUUUAAUAUUUAAUUAAAUAUUAAAGUUUAUUUAAUUGGGGCGAUUGAGAAAGAUAAAAAACUUUUUUUUAUUUAAAGAGAUCCAUUAUUAAUGAUUUUAUGUAAAAAAUACUCUAGGGAUAACAGCGUAAUAAUUUUAGAUAGAUCUUAUAGAAAAAAUAGUUUGCGACCUCGAUGUUGGAUUAGGAUACUUGUUUAAUGAAGAAGUUAAAUAAAGAAGUUUGUUCAACUUUUAAAAUCCUACUUGAUCUGAGUCCAGACCGGAAGA